Molecule: long non-coding RNA, 219 nt
Filed under: Actinidia chinensis (golden kiwifruit)
Lineage: Eukaryota; Viridiplantae; Streptophyta; Magnoliopsida; Ericales; Actinidiaceae
Description: long non-coding RNA (ACHI_LNC007492)
Source: RNAcentral
UAGAAAUUAUAGGGGGACAUCAGAAUUGCUUCUUGGGCUUUUCUCUCAUGGCCAAAUCUAAGUCCCCCUCUAUAAGUUGGCAAUUCCAUAAGAUGAAGUUGAUGGAUUGAAUUGGGAUUUAUAUAUGUAGUAGCAAAUGAAAACAUUGCAUGUAAAAGGCGCUUUCAAAGGAAGAUAGUGAGGCUUGUUAUAGGACAAGAUCUCCCACCCCCACCCCCU